GACGAACGCUGGCGGCGUGCCUAAUACAUGCAAGUCGAGCGCAGGAAAUCGACGGAACCCUUCGGGGGGAAGUCGACGGAAUGAGCGGCGGACGGGUGAGUAACACGUAAAGAACCUGCCCUCAGGUCUGGGAUAACCACGAGAAAUCGGGGCUAAUACCGGAUGGGUCAUCGGACCGCAUGGUCCGAGGAUGAAAGGCGCUUCGGCGUCGCCUGGGGAUGGCUUUGCGGUGAAUUAGCUAGUCGGUGGGGUAAUGGCCCACCAAGGCGACGGUGAAUAGCCGACCUGGGAGGGUGAUCGGCCACACUGGGACGGAGACACGGCCCAGACUCCGACGGGAGGCAGCAGUAGGGAAUCUUCCACAAUGGACGAAAGUCUGAUGGAGCAACGCCGCGUGAACGAUGAAGGCCUUCGGGUCGUAAAGUUCUGUUGUAAGGGAAGUACAAGUGCCGCAGGCAAUGGCGGCACCUUGACGGUACCUUGCGAGAAAGCCACGGCUAACUACGUGCCAGCAGCCGCCGUAA
Molecule: ribosomal RNA, 524 nt
Filed under: uncultured bacterium
Lineage: Bacteria
Description: partial 16S ribosomal RNA
Rfam family: Bacterial small subunit ribosomal RNA
Source: RNAcentral